CACGUAGGGCGCAAGCGUUGUCCGGAAUUAUUGGGCGUAAAGAGCUCGUAGGCGGUCUGUUGCGUCCGCUGUGAAAACUCGGGGCUUAACCCCGAGCCUGCAGUGGAUACGGGCAGACUAGAGGUAGGUAGGGGAGAAUGGAAUUCCUGGUGUAGGCGGUGAAAUGCGUAGAUAUCAGGAGGAAUACCGGUGGUGUAGACGGCUCUCUGGACCGCCACUGACGCUGAGACACGAAAGCGUGGGUAGCAAACAGG
RNAcentral lists this ribosomal RNA (254 nucleotides) under uncultured bacterium. RNAcentral's name for it is "partial 16S ribosomal RNA". It matches the Rfam family "Bacterial small subunit ribosomal RNA", at positions 524 to 776 of the family's 1533-position model. The record is from RNAcentral.